GCCCAGGACAGCUUGAGAAACAGAAGCAAAAAUCCCUGCGUCCAGCCCAAGAGUGGCCGUGGGCUCCUCCUGCCUCGCUCAGAGUCAGAAUCAAAUAAGGCGGUGAAGGUCCGAGCGCCCAUUUGACCUGCAGCUACUCUGAAGGUACUUCUAAGAUGCAUUUCAAAGAUGAAGAAGCAUCUUUUGUGCUCUCUGCCAGCCAAGGAUCCUUCAGAUUGAAAGGGAAGCAGUCAGGACGGCAGACCCAUCUCAGAGAUCAAGUGAAAUGGUGCCAGAACAGGGCUCCGGGGAUGGCUUGCUUUCCCACAGAUGAUGAUCGGGAGUGGAACACCCCCACACCCUCAGGCCAGCGUCGGCUUGUGGAAAGCUGGGCAGCGAGAGAAGCCUUCCAGCCUCCACCUUGGAUCCAUGCUUGGAAUCUGGAAGAAUCCUACUGGACACCUGGGAUGAUCUUUCAUGAAUCUCUCCCAUAUUUUUCUUAUUUUCUUUAAUAUUUUAUACAUACAGAAAUAUGUGUAACAUAUGUGUUAGUUAUAAGCAUAAUUACAAAAUGGAAAUCUGUAAGUCUACCACCCCAUCCGAGGAUGAAAGUGUUUCCAGGAACACUGCAUGUGCUUAGCCAUUUGCUCCGCUUUUUUCCCAGAAGUAACCAAGAUCCUGGGUUUUGUGCUCUUCAUGAAUCCCCUUGCUAAGACAAAACCAAAGCAAAACAAAGAUAUUAUAGCCUGUAGUUAAAUAUUUUGCUUUAAAAUUUGCCUCUUGUUUUCCCUGCUUUUAAGAGCUUUGCCAAGAUGGGAGUAUGUGUACAGUUUUUUGGAACUUGCACUUCUUUACCUAACAUUGUGUUUCAAAGAUCUGCUGGUGUUGCAUGUGGCUGUAGCU
Molecule: long non-coding RNA, 882 nt
Filed under: Capra hircus (goat)
Lineage: Eukaryota; Metazoa; Chordata; Mammalia; Artiodactyla; Bovidae
Description: lncRNA (ENSCHIG00000005217.1)
Source: RNAcentral